AUUGAACGCUGGCGGCAGGCCUAACACAUGCAAGUCGAACGGUAGCACAGAGAGCUUGCUCUCGGGUGACGAGUGGCGGACGGGUGAGUAACGUCUGGGAAACUGCCCGAUGGAGGGGGAUAACUACUGGAAACGGUAGCUAAUACCGCGUAACGUCGCAAGACCAAAGUGGGGGACCUUCGGGCCGCACACCAUCGGAUGCGCCCAGAUGGGAUUAGCUAGUAGGUGGGGUAAUGGCUCACCUAGGCGACGAUCCCUAGCUGGUCUGAGAGGAUGACCAGCCACACUGGAACUGAGACACGGUCCAGACUCCUACGGGAGGCAGCAGUGGGGAAUAUUGCACAAUGGGCGCAAGCCUGAUGCAGCCAUGCCGCGUGUAUGAAGAAGGCCUUCGGGUUGUAAAGUACUUUCAGCGGGGAGGAAGGCGGUGAAGUCAAUAGCUUCACCGAUUGACGUUACCCACAGAAGAAGCACCGGCUAACUCCGUGCCAGCCGCCGCCGUAA
Molecule: ribosomal RNA, 504 nt
Filed under: uncultured bacterium
Lineage: Bacteria
Description: partial 16S ribosomal RNA
Rfam family: Bacterial small subunit ribosomal RNA
Source: RNAcentral